RNAcentral lists this long non-coding RNA (467 nucleotides) under Homo sapiens (human). Its description in RNAcentral is "HSALNT0329745". The record is from RNAcentral. Lineage: Eukaryota; Metazoa; Chordata; Mammalia; Primates; Hominidae.
AUCGUAGUCAUUCAUUAUCACGGGCUUCUCUCUCUCGAAUACCUUUAACAUUUAUCGCCUUGUUAGUCUCCACAUCCACCUCCGUGAAAGAGAUGGAGUCUCGCUAUAUUUCCCAGUCUGGCCUCAAACUCCUGAUCUUAAGGGAUCCCCAGCUCAACCUCUCCCAGCAGCUGGGACUACCGGGCUGUCAAAUUUACAUUAACUAUGAGAAUUAAGCAGAAUCCGAAAGUCAUCUGAGUUGGCUAUCUGCACGUUCUCUCUGUACCAGUGAACUUGAACUGUGGCUGUGGCCUGGAUUCCGCAUUCAAACAUGACCAACUGACCUCUGGUUGUAGGGAUGUCUUGAAGAUGCUGAAGAACAAACACAGAGUUCAGAGGAUGGAAGAAACUGUUAUACCAUCUACAAUGAUUUGAAAUGCCAUUUGCAACUGCAGUUGACCGUGGGUUAUUGAAACCACAGAAAGUGA